AUGGAAGAUACAAGAACUGCUAAUGGGCGUUCAAGGAGUUGGGGUGGGCAAUUGGUAACUUACAACCAUCAUUUCAGAAAUGAAAUAUUCAAUGUGUUGCAUGAUCAACUUAUUGUAGAGUUAAACAACCACUUUGCCGAAAGGUCUACUCAAUUGUUGAGAUGCAUUGCUUGUCUUGAUCCCAAGAAUUCAUUUGCCAACUAUAAUGAAGACAAGCUAGUAGAUCUUGCUAAUAUGUAUGCUGCUGACUUCUCUACAUAUGAAGUUGCUUUUGUCCUUAGAAACCAACUAGACUCAUUCAUUUAG
RNAcentral lists this ribosomal RNA (306 nucleotides) under Triticum aestivum (bread wheat). RNAcentral describes it as "partial small subunit ribosomal RNA". The record is from RNAcentral. Lineage: Eukaryota; Viridiplantae; Streptophyta; Magnoliopsida; Poales; Poaceae.